Molecule: long non-coding RNA, 1103 nt
Organism: Diabrotica virgifera virgifera (western corn rootworm)
Lineage: Eukaryota; Metazoa; Arthropoda; Insecta; Coleoptera; Chrysomelidae
Exons: 2
Source: RefSeq, a predicted model, not a curated record
GUCUGGAAGAAAUGGCGGGUUGAUAUUUUCUACUAAAUUAUUUAUAUUUAACAUCUCCUGUGUAAUUUUAAAGUGAAAAGUCAUUAUUACCAAUUGUUGCUUUGGAGAAAGGAGAUAAGUGGAAAUAACCAAUGGAAUCAGAAUCACUCGCCAUUUGGAAGAAAUAUACUAAGUCAUAGCCCUUAUAACAUCUUGAGAAGCCCUGAGACAGCCACAGCCAAGUCAUCAUGGGAGUAUGUCUAAUUGGGAGCAAGCUAUGGGAGCGUUCCAGCUCAGUUUUCGUCUUGGCACCUGGGCCUACAGGAGUCAUGGGGUCGCAUCAUCCUGGUGCAUCAUUUUCUAGGAUGCAACCGCAACCUUUUUAGGAAUCAUUGGGAUUCGUUUGGGAACAAUUAGUGUGUUAUAGUAACUAUUGGUUUUUUUUUACAUUUCAGACUCUCGGUUUAAUGCACUAUAUUAAUUAAUUUUUUUUCCAGGUUUAGUUUACCUCUGUUUUUUUUAAUAUGACAUAUUUGUAUAUUAUUGUAUUUGGUUCCCAAAUUUUGUAUCUACGGUAACUUCUUGUGCACAGGAAUAAGCCUAGAGAAAAUUAGGUUUUUAAUACUUUAUUAUUGCUUUGAUAUUGGUUUAUGUUAUUCGGGUAAAUUUAUUUUGUAAUUAUACUUGCUUGUUUCCCAAAUAUUUUAUUGUUAUUCGCUUUAUUCCAUUUGUUCGGUUAAUUUAGGUCAUCGUCGGUAUUUAUCUCAACUUCAUUUCUCUUUCAUUCAUUGUAUACGUAACUUACUUACUUCAUUAUUGUAUUUUCCCUUAGUGAGGCUUGGGCCUAUUUAUUUGUAUUAUUUUCAUCUUUGUCAGUUUCAUUUAGUUGUACGUAGCAAGCGUACUAUAACCAUUUGGUAAAAAGGACUCAUGUGAGUUGUACCCUAUAUGUAAGUGACAGGUAAUUAUAUAAUUUUGUAAUAGAUAACAUUAUUGUAGUUAUCUCAAAUAUAACUUUUUGUAUAACUUAUGUCAUUUUAGAGUCACAUGAUAUGCACUUUGUGUAACUCAGAGAUUGUCAAAGAUCUAGUAGUUAUUUUUAAUAAAUAUUUACUUAUUUUGUA